GCCGUGAUGCCAGAGUGGUUAAUGGGUAAGACUUGAAUUGUUUAUAAUUUGGUUAUCUUAUGGCUUCGGCCUCGUAGGUUCAAAUCCUGCUCACGGCG
Molecule: non-coding RNA, 98 nt
Organism: Pseudogymnoascus pannorum
Lineage: Eukaryota; Fungi; Ascomycota; Leotiomycetes; Thelebolales; Thelebolaceae
Source: Rfam